Molecule: ribosomal RNA, 467 nt
Filed under: uncultured bacterium
Lineage: Bacteria
Description: partial 16S ribosomal RNA
Rfam family: Bacterial small subunit ribosomal RNA
Source: RNAcentral
GAUGAACGCUGGCGGCGUGCUUAACACAUGCCAGUCGAACGGAAAGGCUCCUGCUUGCAGGGGUACUCGAGUGGCGAACGGGUGAGUAACACGUGGGUGAUCUGCCCUGCACUUCGGGAUAAGCCUGGGAAACUGGGUCUAAUACCGGAUAGGACCACAUUUUGGAUGGUGUGGUGGAAAGUUUUUCGGUGUGGGAUGAGCUCGCGGCCUAUCAGCUUGUUGGUGGGGUAAUGGCCUACCAAGGCGUCGACGGGUAGCCGGCCUGAGAGGGUGUACGGCCACAUUGGAACUGAGAUACGGCCCAGACUCCUACGGGAGGCAGCAGUGGGGAAUAUUGCACAAUGGGCGCAAGCCUGAUGCAGCGACGCCGCGUGGGGGAUGACGGCCUUCGGGUUGUAAACUCCUUUCGCUAGGGACGAAGCGUUUUUGUGACGGUACCUGGAGAAGAAGCACCGGCUAACUACGUG